CAGCCAAACGCAAGUGUGAAACAGAUGGCACAGCGCAUCCGUUGCCACGUAAGCUUGCAACUGUAAAAGAAACUAUGCUUCUUCAUUAAUCUUUCUUAAUUACUAAAUUAUUUAAUUAUCCACACUGUUAGUUAAUUAAUCACCAUUACUGAGCAAACAUAGAUUCUUAAUCCCACAGGUCAAAUCUACAUUCUCUCUAAUCUCAACAGUUAUCCUUCCCUUCCUCCAUUUCUGCAACUUCCUUUGAUCUCUCUCUCUCUCUCUCUGUUU
This 270-nucleotide unclassified non-coding RNA is filed under the name Hevea brasiliensis (rubber tree). Lineage: Eukaryota; Viridiplantae; Streptophyta; Magnoliopsida; Malpighiales; Euphorbiaceae. The record is from RNAcentral.